This 253-nucleotide ribosomal RNA is filed under the name uncultured bacterium. Its description in RNAcentral is "partial 16S ribosomal RNA". It matches the Rfam family "Bacterial small subunit ribosomal RNA", at positions 524 to 776 of the family's 1533-position model. The record is from RNAcentral.
UACGUAGGUGGCAAGCGUUGUCCGGAAUUUUUGGGCGUAAAGCGCGCUCAGGCGGCCUUUUAAGUCUGAUGUGAAAGCCCACGGCUCAACCGUGGAAGGUCAUUGGAAACUGAAAGGCUUGAGUACAGAAGAGGAAAGCGGAAUUCCACGUGUAGCGGUGAAAUGCGUAGAGAUGUGGAGGAACACCAGUGGCGAAGGCGGCUUUCUGGUCUGUAACUGACGCUGAGGCGCGAAAGCGUGGGGAGCGAACAGG